Molecule: long non-coding RNA, 379 nt
Organism: Orcinus orca (killer whale)
Lineage: Eukaryota; Metazoa; Chordata; Mammalia; Artiodactyla; Delphinidae
Exons: 3
Source: RefSeq, a predicted model, not a curated record
CAGGACUUCAUUAAUACAAAAGGGGAAGGCUAGAGAACAAAAGAAUAAGGAAGGAGGCAGCGACAGAGAGAGGGAAGGAACUGUAAUAAUUGACACGAAGUGAAUCGUCUGCAUCCCCUCCACUGCUUACUGGGUCUCUGCACUUGCACGUUCUCUGUGAGAAGGACAGCGCAUUGAAUCUGGUCAGCGUCUGCAAAUACACUUUCUUGAGUAACCAGUGCACUGGGGCUAAAGGUGGAAACUAGGACCAUUCCAGGCAAGCCUGGCUGCAUGAGCACUCUAGCCACCAAACGCAGUGUGUCAUGGCCUGCUAUCUUCUGAGCUAUCAACUCCUUUAAGACACGAAUCUCUGAAUAAUUCUUUGUUGAACUGAAUUGAA